CUACGUGCCAGCAGCCGCGGUAAUACGUAGGUCCCGAGCGUUGUCCGGAUUUAUUGGGCGUAAAGCGAGCGCAGGCGGUUAGAUAAGUCUGAAGUGAAAGGCAGUGGCUCAACCAUUGUAGGCUUUGGAAACUGUUUAACUUGAGUGCAGAAGGGGAGAGUGGAAUUCCAUGUGUAGCGGUGAAAUGCGUAGAUAUAUGGAGGAACACCGGUGGCGAAAGCGGCUCUCUGGUCUGUAACUGACGCUGAGGCUCGAAAGCGUGGGGAGCGAACAGGAUUAGAUACCCUGGUAGUCCACGCCGUAAACGAUGAGUGCUAGGUGUUAGACCCUUUCCGGGGUUUAGUGCCGCAGCUAACGCAUUAAGCACUCCGCCUGGGGAAUACGACCGCAAGGUUGAAACUCAAAGGAAUUGACGGGGGCCCGCACAAGCGGUGGAGCAUGUGGUUUAAUUCGAAGCAACGCGAAGAACCUUACCAGGUCUUGACAUCCCUCUGACCGCUCUAGAGAUAGAGUUUUC
RNAcentral lists this ribosomal RNA (517 nucleotides) under uncultured bacterium. RNAcentral's name for it is "bacterial SSU rRNA". It matches the Rfam family "Bacterial small subunit ribosomal RNA", at positions 501 to 1016 of the family's 1533-position model. The record is from RNAcentral.